This 830-nucleotide long non-coding RNA is filed under the name Homo sapiens (human). RNAcentral's name for it is "HSALNT0269818". Lineage: Eukaryota; Metazoa; Chordata; Mammalia; Primates; Hominidae. The record is from RNAcentral.
GCAGCAGCUGUAUGACACACUUUACCUCCAUUACCACCCUGGGCAUCUGAAUGUUGGAGAUGGGUGGUGUCACCGGCCGGUGGGGGUGGGGAGGGAUUUUUUCCAAACUGAUGGCCAUUUCACCCGGAUGUCGGUGGAUGCCCCGCACUAGUGUGCGGAAGAAGUCACCCUGUGCUCCCCCACGCAGGUGCUGGACGUCAUUGCUCCUCCUUAUACCUCUGACUUCGUGCAACUUUUCCUCCCCAUCCUGGAGAAUGACAGCAUCGCAGGUACCAUCAAAACGGAAGGCGAGCAUGACCCUGUGACGGAGUUUAUAGUCACUGUUUUCCUCGUUAAAGCUCACUGCAAAUCUAACUUCAUCAUGGUGAACUAAUUUAGAGCAUCCUCCAGAGCUGAAGCAGAACAUUCCAGAACCCGUUGUGGAAAAACCCUUUCAAGAAGCUGUUUUAAGAGGCUCGGGCAGCGUCUUGAAAAUGGGCACCGCUGGGAGGAGGUGGAUGACUUCUUUACAAAGGAAAAUGGUAGCAGCUUCAGUGAGAAACUGCCCUUACAAACAGUCCCUUCUCUGCUGUCAAUCCAAUACUGCUCCCAAAUCCUGUUUUCAGUGUUCAUUUCCCUCAAGGCAGGCGCUGGGCUCCCACGACCCCUCAGGACAGAUCUGGCCGUCAGCCGCGGGCCGCUGGGAACUCCACUCGGGGAACUCCUUUCCAAGCUGACCUCAGUUUUCUCACAAGAACCCAGUUAGCUGAUGUUUUAUUGUAAUUGUCUUAAUUUGCUAAGAACAAGUAAUAAGUAAAUUUUUAAAAAGCCUUUCUGCUGGGUUGGAUUAA